Molecule: ribosomal RNA, 245 nt
Filed under: uncultured bacterium
Lineage: Bacteria
Description: partial 16S ribosomal RNA
Rfam family: Bacterial small subunit ribosomal RNA
Source: RNAcentral
UACGUAGACCUCAAGCGUUAUCCGGAUUUAUUGGGCGUAAAGCGCGUGUAGGAGGUUCGGUGCGUCUCUGGUUAAAGAUCACUGCUCAACGGUGAAAGUGCCAGGGAUACGGCCGGACUAGAGGAGGUUAGAGGUGUGCGGAGCGCACGGUGUAGGGGUGAAAUCCGUUGAUAUCGUGCGAAACACCAAAGGCGAAGGCAGCACACUGGGACUUUCCUGACUCUGAGACGCGAAAGCGUGGGGAG